CAACAGUAUCUCAUAAAGCAUUCGUAAACCACUAGGAUAAACAAGAGUAAAAGAGGGAAUCACCAGAAGUUUCCACCAAUAAGGUCACUGGGGACAUUUAUAUCUGAAUCUCAAAACCUGACUCCUAAAAGCAUGAAGAGUGAUGACAGCAAAAAAACAGAAUUCGGAAGGCAGCAGGGCUUCCUAGGCAGGCAUGGCCCCAUCCUGGUGGACGGGAUCCCAGGAAGAGAAUUCCAAUGCCAGUUUUACCAGACUCUUGGACAAGCACAGAUGGCAGGAGCGAUGGAUUCGUAGAUCUACAUUCAGCAGAUGCAAAAGAACACAAUUUGGGGCUAUUUUUCUCACAGUGUGUUGUACUGAGGUAAAAACUGUGUGUUGUCUGUAUAGCACAGGAAUGGACAAGUGUUCCUGCUGCCUGGUUCGAGGGGCAGGCUGAGGAGGACAGGGAGUUAUGAUCCCUAUGUUCCAGACAAAUGGAAUCCCCUGUAGAGUGACAGAUGGUGCUUCAGCUUCUCCACUGCCUCAGCAUCUGUGCAGCACAUCUGGCCAGCUGCUGCUUAAAAGGACAAGGACACCUUCCUAUCACACCUUCCAAAUUUCUCUCAAACAUUUUCUUGUACUGAUUAUCUUUGCUACUCAACAAUGAAUGAGGCUGGAGAGCUAAACCAGCACCCAACUGUUUGCAUUUUCCAGUGCUGGUUUUCUGCUAAAUUGGCCUCCUGAUCCAGCUCCCUGUGAGUGGUCAUGGACAUUUCACUGCAGUUGGGAUGAGCCUCUGCAUCUCCAGGGUUGACCCCAGGCCACCAGGAUAUGCAGAAACCUUCAGCACUUCGGGACUGAUGCUGGUUCUCCAAACUCUCACCCUACAAACAAACUGCUUCUCACCAGCACCUUUCUCCCAGACAAUCUGACAGGAUCAGAAAGGAUUUCCCAUCCGCAGUGUCAGGGAUCUUCUGUGACAGGAAUGCACAGCCUUGCUGGGAUGAGUGGAGAUGAAAGCCACCUCCAUGAAGGCUCGGGACCUUCUGACUGAUGCUUGUGUUCACCAAACAAGCAUUUCCACACUAUGAUUAAUUGUGUUGUCUCAUCAAUGAAGUAAUGCUGCUGUUGUGUUCUGGUUCAGGGUUCUUCUGAAGAGCUUCUCUCUCCUCUGUGAGGGUGCUGGGAGGUCUUGUUGUAUGCUCUUGCAGAAAGUGAUGGCAGCACUUGGCCCCUAGCAGGAGCAUCGGUCCAGAUGUCUACAUCUUCAGUCAUAUAUAUAUGGAACCAUAGAAACCUAUGAAGCUGCUUUUAGCAGGCCCUGCAGAAAUUCAACUAGAUGCUGUCCCUGCCCUAAGAGACUUGCAGUCUAAUCUGGGAGAAGAUCAAAUGGAAAAGGAAAAAGAAAAACAUUAAAUAAUAACAGCAAAUGUUUAUAUAGCUGCUUGCACAACACAGUAACUAUAAGGAGCUACAGUCUUAAAGAUUCAAACAAAAUUAACUAUUAAGAGGAAGCACUCUGUAUUUGCACAGAGAAUCCAGGGAAGAUUUUGAGAAACCAAGAUGAUGACACAGUAGACGCAGACCUUCAAAGUUUUCAGGUACCUAUCUCCCAUGGGAGCUACCAGUGGAAGGGAAUGUGGUUGUCUGAUGAUUGCAGUGCUUUGCAGUACGGCUGAGAAACUCAAGCCCAACUCUAUGCAAUCUCGGGUACUGCGACAAGAGUGCUCCCUCUCCUACUACAUCCAACUGGAUUCAGACUGCAUUUUUCAUACUUGUGCUAAAUCACAACAGGGCUCAGACUGCCCUUUCUCCACCACUCCUUGCUCCUGUGUAUACUCAAUCUGGGAAAUACUGUACAUAAAGUUCCAGCAAUGCGGGGAUAGAGGAACUUUGUGCUUAGGAGAUCUCACGCCUAAAUCAAAAGUCCAGGACACAGCCAAUUUCCAAGUUACUUUUAAAAAUCAGAUAGUGUAAGCAAAUUUAUGUAAAGUAAUGCUGAUUGUAAUCCCACAGAGUAGAACUGCCAGCAGUGCUAAAUCAGAUUUAAACCUCAAUAGUUCCUCUUUCUUACCGCUGUUUUCCUGCUUUAUUCUUUCAUGCCUCGGUCUGUAUAGAUGAACAGAGCAGGAAUGAUAAAUGUGUUACAUAUAGCACUAUUUAUGCCACAUCAGGCUUAUACGUUUUCAUUCUAGAAGAAAGAAAAACUACCUCUCCUAAGAUCAAGAGGAUUGUUGUUUUACUUUAUGCAUGAAAACAUUCAUGUUUCAGACAGCCAAUGCCUACAGCAAUGAAGAGGGAAGAAGGGAAGAUAAGAAGGGGCUUAGGCAUUCAAGCUUUAUCUUUUUCCCUUCCUUUGUCUUUCUCUCCUUCCAGACACACAAAAAGUAAGGAGCACUCAACAAUUAGCUCUUAACAAACCAGACCAAAACCCAAACAAAUCUCCUAAUCCUUAUCAGAGAGAUGACACAGCAACACAGUAUGUAUAGAAGAAUGAAGAAAAUAUUUUGCAAGUAUACUGGCUCCUGAGAAGGCAUUUUAUGACGGGUUGUCACUUGCUGCCAAUUCUUCACAAAAAUCAUAUUGCACAAGAAACUGUGUGAUGCGAGAAGAUCAACAAUGUAUCCCCUGCCACCUGAGUCCCCCAUCUGACUGCACGUAUAACCUAGAAUAGAAAAGCUGUUUGUCUUCUUAUCCAUCUUUGAAGUCUAGCAGUUCAACGUUACAUACUGAAGGCAGGCAUUAAUAAACACUUAAUGUCAUAUGUCACACUGGCCUGAAAGUAGGACUUUGAAAAGUGUUAAAUGUUAUCCUGGAGAUAUUCAUCCCUGCUAGUUACAAAGCAGGAGGAAACAGGACUUGCUCAUGGCUUCAAUUCUUAGCCUUUGGCAUAUAUCUCAGAGGAAAUACCUUUAUUUCAAAAGCAAAUUCUGAAACUCUUAUUCUGAUUAAAUUGUCUUCAGCAUAAACAGCUGCUGUGUCAUUCAAGUUUAUGCUGGAUACUCAAUGGAAAAGUCCUUCACAGUUGUUUGUGGUUAUUUUCGGUGGAUGAAAUGGGUUCAACAGUAAGCAUGGGUAGAACUUCUAUCCACACAGUAGUAACAGCAAUAGUAAUAAUAUAAAUAAAACAUCAUCUGCUAUUAUCUAGUUUUGCCAAGAAACUUCUUAUCAGAAUUAAGAAUUUCCAGAUCUGUUUAUUUCUAGGUGUUCGUGGAGUACUUCAAUAUAUAUGUUAAACAUCAGAGUAACAUUUCUGUUCAGGAGUGAUGAUACUGCCUAGGAAUUACCUCUAUGCUUUCAGAAGUUGGUCAUUCUCUGAAGAGAGUCCUGAAGACAAGAUCAGAAACAAUAAUGAAGAAAACUUAAAAUAAAAGGUUGGAAUGAAAUGGCCUCCUGGAUGACCAUGCAACAAGAUCCAGACAGCAAAGAAAAAAAAUCAAACCCUCAAUCAAAAAAAAUCAUGAUACUGUUAUAGUUUCCUUAGCAUAGCAUGCCAAGGACCCCAAGCAAAAAUAGUUCUGGUUUUCUCAGCUGAAUGGCUCCUGAAAAAAAGUCUAGAUGUACAGAAAGGAAAUUGGAUAUAAUUCCUGCAGAGGAUGGGCUUUGAUACCACAGCUCAGAUAUGGAAAAUAAUUCAAAGUGUACGAGAGAGGUCACAGAAUUUUGACUGCAGAUAUCUAGCUAUCUCCUACUAUUUCUUUUGCCCUGUCUUUCUCCAGCUGGAAUAUUUCUCUUAAGCAAUGGACAGGAAAUAAUACAAUGAAACACGUUACUGAAAUCAGAGUUCUCUGUCAGCUUCUUACACCAUGAGGUGAACUUCAUUGUAACUCCUCAGACUUUCUGGACUUAAAUAAGGGAGAGAGGGAAUUAAUGAGUACAGUAGGAAGAAUGACAGUAAAAAUAGACUCACUUUCAAGAGUUACUGUGAAGUACAUCAGGGUUUGAAAUUUGCUAUAUAUUGGCCAGGCUUGUAUGAGUUGCCCCCGUUAAAAAAAACACCCAAUUGAAUUCUGGUCUGAAAGAAUUCAGAUCUUAAUUUACAUUGUCAGUAGCAAUUCAUGUGAUUCAGUAACAGGAAAUGUUUGUACUCAAAUGCCAUAAACAAGCCCUACUAAGAAAAGUUUGUUUUCAACAGCUAGAUCGCUUAUCUUUGCUUAGCAUAAGUAUUUUUUUCAAGAAAUCAUAAAGAGAAACAUACAUCUAGGAAUUCUGCACUGCAUAAAAACAUAAAUAUGCCAGACUUUAACUGUGCUUUAAUCAAGAUCAUUUUGAAAUAUACGUACAUUAAAGAUUUAGCUCCUGUUUUAUUGGUGUUCCGGGUCCCACGGCUGACGUGCUGAGCAGGGUGUCGGGGUUGCAUUGGAUGAGCAGUAUCUGCCAUCUGCUGGAGGGACGUGUGCUAGCACUGAUGAGGCUGGAAUGAUUUGGUCAGGUGGCCAAACACAGGAAAACUGAACUGAUAGGACUCCGGAAGAACCUGAGAAAGUGAAACUUAAUGUGACAUAACAGAGACUUUCAUAUGUUAUUUACCAGAGGGGAAAUGAGUCACGAAGUAAUCCAAUGGAAGAGGACUGGAGAUUUGGUUUAAGCCCUGACCAUUGCUCUGUACAGGAUCCCACACUGCUCUCAUUUUAGCUCAUAAACCCCACUAAAAACAUGUUUGUGUUCACAGCAUUUUGACAGAACAAUCCUCCUCUAUCCACUCUGCGGGUAUUUGCCAGAAACAGUGUUAAUAGCAUGCAGCAAUACUGCACAUUCAAAGAGAAAAGGGCCUCAGUCUUCUCUACUUUUUUUUUUUUUUAAUGUAAGUAAAAAAGUAUGUAAGUUAAACCUGGUGAUAAAACAUUUUAAAAGGGAAACAAACCCAAUGUUCCUGUAAUGUUAUUAAUAAUACAGAUGGCUGCUGUUACACAUAUAUAUGUUGCAUACAGAUUGACUUUUGCAAUAAAUUUCUCUGAGAUUUUCACAGAAAA
Molecule: long non-coding RNA, 4952 nt
Filed under: Gallus gallus (chicken)
Lineage: Eukaryota; Metazoa; Chordata; Aves; Galliformes; Phasianidae
Description: lncRNA (ENSGALG00010013998.1)
Source: RNAcentral